Molecule: long non-coding RNA, 980 nt
Filed under: Ananas comosus (pineapple)
Lineage: Eukaryota; Viridiplantae; Streptophyta; Magnoliopsida; Poales; Bromeliaceae
Description: long non-coding RNA (ACOM_LNC035959)
Source: RNAcentral
UCACGGCCCACAUUUUCACCCACGUUUGAAAAUUCAAUUUCGAAUAUCAUAUUCAAAUUCGAUUUUAAAUUUUUAAACCCCCAGAAAAUAUCUGUUAUCCUAAUAACCCUAUUCGAAAUUCGAUUUCGAACUUCGAACCAACUCCCAAAAUAUCUCUCAACCAACAUUCAUUCGAAUUUUGAAUACCUAUCCAUCCCACAACCCAUUCAAAAUUCAAUUUUGAAUUUCGAAUCCCCAACCAACAUCCAUUCGAAUUUUGAAUACCUAACCACCCAACAACCGAUUCAAAAUUCGAUUUCGAAUUUUGAAUCCCUAACCGACUCUCCAAAAUAUCCUUCAACCAUCCAUCAACUCAUUCAAAAUUCGAUUUCGAAUUUCGAAUCCCUAACCGACUCACCAAAAUAUCCUUCAACUAUCCAACAACCCAUUCAAAAUUCGAUUUCGAAUUUCGAAUUUCGAAUUUCCAAUCAAUUCCCAAAAUAUCCUCCAACAACCCAUUCAAAAUUCGAUUUCGAAUUUCGAAUUCCCAACCAACUCCCAAAAUAUCCUCCAACAAUCCAUUCAAAAUUCGAAUUUCGAAUUUCGAAUUCCCAACCAACUCCCAAAAUAUCCUCCAACAAUCCAUUCAAAACUAAUUUCUAAAAUAUCCUCCAACAACCUAUUCAAAAUUCGAAUUUCGAAUUUUGAAUUCCUAACAAAUUUCCAAAAUAUCCUCGAACAACCCAUUCAAAAUUCAAAUUUCGAAUUUUGAAUUCCAACCAAUUUCCAAAAUACCCUCCAACCAUCGAACAACCCAUUCAAAAUUCGAUUUCGAAUUUCGAAUUCCCGACAAAAUCCCAAAUAUCUUUCAACCAACCACAACAACCUAUUCAAAAUUCAAAUUCGAAUUUCGAAUCCCUCAAAAUAUCUCUCACCACCCCUCCCAUUAUAAAUACGAGAACCGAAAUCAAACUCGGGAAUAAUUUUUUGACGGAGACGAU